Molecule: non-coding RNA, 149 nt
Organism: Paxillus rubicundulus Ve08.2h10
Lineage: Eukaryota; Fungi; Basidiomycota; Agaricomycetes; Boletales; Paxillaceae
Source: Rfam
UCUCUUGUGCUCGGGCAUGUACUGUCGCCAGUGAGGUCUUUACCGAGGCACAGUCUUUUGCUGAUUGCAAAUUACACAUCCGAACUCGUCUGUUAGCUUCGGCUUCCAGCAAUUUUUGGAAAACACCCUACAACUCCUGUUUGCAGUGA